GACGAACGCUGGCGGCGUGCUUAACACAUGCAAGUCGAACGGAAAGGCCCUGCUUUUGUGGGGUGCUCGAGUGGCGAACGGGUGAGUAACACGUGAGUAACCUGCCCUUGACUUUGGGAUAACUUCAGGAAACUGGGGCUAAUACCGGAUAGGAGCUCCUGCUGCAUGGUGGGGGUUGGAAAGUUUCGGCGGUUGGGGAUGGACUCGCGGCUUAUCAGCUCGUUGGUGGGGUAGUGGCUUACCAAGGCUUUGACGGGUAGCCGGCCUGAGAGGGUGACCGGCCACAUUGGGACUGAGAUACGGCCCAGACUCCUACGGGAGGCAGCAGUGGGGAAUAUUGCACAAUGGGCGGAAGCCUGAUGCAGCAACGCCGCGUGCGGGAUGACGGCCUUCGGGUUGUAAACCGCUUUCGCCUGUGACGAAGCGUAAGUGACGGUAAUGGGUAAAGAAGCACCGGCUAACUACGUG
This 468-nucleotide ribosomal RNA is filed under the name uncultured bacterium. RNAcentral describes it as "partial 16S ribosomal RNA". It matches the Rfam family "Bacterial small subunit ribosomal RNA", at positions 28 to 507 of the family's 1533-position model. The record is from RNAcentral.